Molecule: ribosomal RNA, 408 nt
Filed under: uncultured bacterium
Lineage: Bacteria
Description: partial 16S ribosomal RNA
Rfam family: Bacterial small subunit ribosomal RNA
Source: RNAcentral
GACGAACGCUGGCGGCGUGCUUAACACAUGCAAGUCGAACGAAGUGGCGAACGGGUGAGUAACGCGUAAUCAACCUGCCCUUCAGAGGGGGACAACAGUUGGAAACGACUGCUAAUACCGCAUACUGAAGGAGGGGAUUGAGUCUGAUUAGCUAGUUGGGGGGGUAACGGCCCACCAAGGCGAUUAUCAGUAGCCUGGUGGGGAGGAUGGACUGCCACAUUUGGACUGAGACACGGCCCAGAAUCCUACGGGAGGCAGCAGUGGGGAAUCUUCCGCAAUGGACGAAAGUCUGACGGAGCAACGCCGCGUGAGUGAUUACGGCCUUCGGGUUGUAAAGCUCUGUUAAUCGGGACGCGGUACCGGAAUAGAAAGCCACGGCUAACUACGUGCCAGCCGCCGCGGUAAUUC